RNAcentral lists this ribosomal RNA (301 nucleotides) under uncultured bacterium. RNAcentral's name for it is "partial 16S ribosomal RNA". It matches the Rfam family "Bacterial small subunit ribosomal RNA", at positions 509 to 807 of the family's 1533-position model. The record is from RNAcentral.
CAGUAGCCGCGGGAAUACGAAGGGUGCAAGCGUCAAUCGGAAUUACUGGGCGUAAAGCGCGCGUAGGUGGUUUGUUAAGUUGGAGGUGAAAUCCCCGGGCUCAACCUGGGAACUGCCUCCAAAACUGGCUGACUAGAGUACGGUAGAGGGUGGUGGAAUUUCCUGUGUAGCGGUGAAAUGCGUAGAUAUAGGAAGGAACACCAGUGGCGAAGGCGACCACCUGGACUGAUACUGACACUGAGGUGCGAAAGCGUGGGGAGCAAACAGGAUUAGAUACCCCAGUAGUCCCUGUCUCUUAUAC